UGCCUCAUAACGGCGAGUGAGCGGAACAGCUCAAAUUUGAAAGCUACCUUCGGGUUCGCAUUGUAAUUUGUAGAGGAUGCUUUGGGUAAAACGCCAGUCUAAGUUCCUUGGAACAGGACGUCAUAGAGGGUGAGAAUCCCGUAUGUGACUGGAAAUGUUAACCUAUGUAAAGCUCCUUCGACGAGUCGAGUUGUUUGGGAAUGCAGCUCUAAAUGGGAGGUAAAUUUCUUCUAAAGCUAAAUAUUGGCGAGAGACCGAUAGCGCACAAGUAGAGUGAUCGAAAGAUGAAAAGCACUUUGGAAAGAGAGUUAAAAAGCACGUGAAAUUGUUGAAAGGGAAGCGCUUGCAAUCAGACUUGUUUAAACUGUUCGGCCGGUCUUCUGACCGGUUUACUCAGUUUGGACAGGCCAGCAUCAGUUUCGGCGGCCGGAUAAAGGCUCUGGGAAUGUGGCCUCCACUUCGGUGGAGGUGUUAUAGCCCAGUGUGUAAUACGGCCAGCCGGGACUGAGGUCCGCGCUUCGGCUAGGAUGCUGGCGUAAUGGUUGUAAGCGACCCGUCUUGAAACACGGACCAAGGAGUCUAACAUCUAUGCGAGUGUUCGGGUGUCAAACCCCUGCGCGAAAUGAAAGUGAACGGAGGUGGGAACCGCAAGGUGCACCAUCGACCGAUCCUGAUGUCUUCGGAUGGAUUUGAGUAAGAGCAUAGCUGUUGGGACCCGAAAGAUGGUGAACUAUGCCUGAAUAGGGUGAAGCCAGAGGAAACUCUGGUGGAGCUCGCAGCGGUUCUGACGUGCAAAUCGAUCGUCAAAUUUGGUAUGGGGGAAAGACUAAC
This 831-nucleotide ribosomal RNA is filed under the name Aureobasidium sp. BJ-2021i. RNAcentral's name for it is "partial large subunit ribosomal RNA". It matches the Rfam family "Eukaryotic large subunit ribosomal RNA", at positions 77 to 935 of the family's 3401-position model. The record is from RNAcentral. Lineage: Eukaryota; Fungi; Ascomycota; Dothideomycetes; Dothideales; Saccotheciaceae.